CCUACGGGUGGCAGCAGUGGGGAAUAUUGCGCAAUGGGCGCAAGCCUGAUGCAGCGACGCCGCGUGAAGGAAGAAGUCUUUCGGUAUGUAAACUUCUAUCAGCAGGGACGAAGAUGACGGUACCUGACUAAGAAGCCCCGGCUAACUACGUGCCAGCAGCCGCGGUAAUACGUCGGGGGCAAGCGUUAUCCGGAAUUACUGGGUGUAAAGGGAGCGUAGGCGGUAUCGCAAGUCAGAAGUGAAAGCCCGGGGCUUAACGCCGGGACUGCUUUUGAAACUGUUGAACUAGAGUGCCGGAGAGGAAAGUGGAAUUCCUAGUGUAGCGGUGAAAUGCGUAGAUAUUAGGAGGAACACCAGUGGCGAAGGCGGCUUACUGGACUGUAAAUGACGCUGAGGCUCGAAAGCGUGGGGAGCAAACAGGAUUAGAUACCCGAGUAGUC
Molecule: ribosomal RNA, 440 nt
Filed under: uncultured bacterium
Lineage: Bacteria
Description: partial 16S ribosomal RNA
Rfam family: Bacterial small subunit ribosomal RNA
Source: RNAcentral